This 174-nucleotide ribosomal RNA is filed under the name Atlantihyla panchoi. RNAcentral's name for it is "partial 16S ribosomal RNA". The record is from RNAcentral. Lineage: Eukaryota; Metazoa; Chordata; Amphibia; Anura; Hylidae.
ACGUGAUCUGAGUUCAGACCGGAGUAAUCCAGGUCAGUUUCUAUCUAUAAAGGGCUUUUUCUAGUACGAAAGGACCGAAAAAGCACGGCCCAUGCUCAAAGUAAGCCGCACUCAUUAAUUUAUGAUUUAAGCUCAAUAAACAACUGACCUGCAACUCUAUUCUAAACAAGAGUA